GUUAGGGGGCUGGAAUGCCCGAGGUUCUGGUGAUUCCCUAAUGUUGCCCUGAGAACUUUGUCUUUCUCGUGUUUUUCGCCUUGUUCCUGGACUGAACACAUAUUCAUGGAAAAAAUGUUGAAUUGUGAUCAAAUGAGGAAAUUAUUACAAAGGGAAUGACUAGGAACAAAUAGUAAUGAUUGCACAAAUUAAUAAGAUCAAGGUAUAAAAACAGUUCAAGAUUCACUGCUACUUCUAGAAAUUUAUUGCUUUUUACAUAUCACCAUAUUGCAAUGUGCUGUUAUUUGCCCUACAUCUACAUACAAUAAAAUGACUACCACUAUAACUGGAAGACUAUAUACUUUUACACUAUUUUAUACGAAGUAAAAUAUGUAGAAAAUGCAGCAUUUUGUUACCGUUCUAACAGCUUUCAAAGGGUUAUCACCACCAUUACAAUAGCUACAAUGACCAACCAAAAGUCAUCACCACGAUCACAAUAAUAAUUUGUACUUGCACACUGCAGCAUCAUGACUAAGAUAGGUCGCACUCUCUGCGCCAAUCUCUCAGCACAAGUAAUGAUGAACAGCCAGUGGAUGGUGAGAUAUGUGUAGGCACACUGAACUACAUGAAGAUGAAGUACAAAAGUAGAUCGUAAAGCAAUGAAGGAAGGUAUGAAGGGAUAUAAGCAGUGUAGAGAUGGAGUCAUUACAUAAUGGUUCACAUGAUGGACAAUAUUACAAAAGAAGUGAAGGAUAGUAACUAAGGGAUAGUACUUUAUGAACAGAUAUGUUUUCAGAGAGCGUGUGAAUGUAGCCUUGGAGUUAUGAGUUGUGAAUGUGAUGUGGAAGAGAGUUCAACUGCUUAGCAGCACAGAGGAAGGACGUACGUUGUCCAUUUGUGACUGUCUUUGUGGGAAGGAGGAUAGAAUGCGUGAGUCUCAUGAGAAGCGAAGGUUUCGGGAGAAGCGAAGGUUUCGGGCAGGAGUAAGGAAAGACAAGAUUUCAGUAAAGUAGUGGGAUGAGGAACCCUCAAAGAAUCAAUAGCAUAGAGAUGAGAGCUUGUAGUCUAUUCUAGCUUUAACUGGUAGCCAAUGAAAAGAGUGAAAAAGUGGUAUGACAUGCACAUUUGAAAGUUCAGAAAACAAUACAAUAGCUACAUUGACCACACAAACGUCAUUGCCAUGAUCACAAUAGCUACAAUGACUGCCCAGAGGUUAUUUCUGUUAUAUUAACAUAUAUACCAGUCAUUCCAGUCACAUUAACAACCACAAAUAACUUUUGAACAAUGUUCAUCCUUAUCAAGACAUUGCUCUUAAUUAAAUUUAGGUGAACAGAUCAGCAGUCAAGCUAAUGAAGUUUCUUUGAAUAUUAUUAUACACACUAUCAUAAUACAAGUAUAUAAUCUCCACUGUAACUACAUUCACAAAGUAUAGUGACGUAAUUAUGUAUUUCUGGAUGUUUCCUUAGAACUGUGUAUCAAGCAUGCACUGUGUAGGUGAAAAUAACUCAUGCUGUUGUUGUUGUGGCAAGUAUGUAUCAUUAUCAUUCAACCCUUGACUGAUACUAGCUGAUCCCCAGUUAAGCUGACCUGCCUGUACCAGUCACUGACAGCCGAAUGGUUAGGGCUGGGGAAACAGAUAGCCAAGUGGUUAAGGCACUGGCAUCUUUUGAUAACAGAGAUUUAGAGAUCAUUGCUUCUUCUUCCUCUGCCUUCCUAACACUUCUUCAGCUGUUAAACACAGCAUCUCACUAUUUGCAGCAAUGAUGUCAAUUAUAGCUACGGUGUUUAGGGUGGCAAAUUUACCACCAACUUGGAUCUUGAGGAUUUCUGCAAUGUCAAGAUCAGUAGUAGAAUGCUAUUGCCAGGUGGAGGAUGGGAUGUUAAAUGUCUGCAGUAAUAGAUCCUAUAGGCUGAUCAACACUAUCUUGUGCACAUCAAGCUGGAUGUCAAAAUGAAUGCCAGCUGUGCACACCCUAGAUACCAAUGAACUGAGAAAAGUCCCAAAGAAAGAACGCAUAU
RNAcentral lists this long non-coding RNA (1998 nucleotides) under Pomacea canaliculata. RNAcentral's name for it is "uncharacterized LOC112565417". Lineage: Eukaryota; Metazoa; Mollusca; Gastropoda; Architaenioglossa; Ampullariidae. The record is from RNAcentral.